RNAcentral lists this ribosomal RNA (301 nucleotides) under uncultured bacterium. RNAcentral describes it as "partial 16S ribosomal RNA". It matches the Rfam family "Bacterial small subunit ribosomal RNA", at positions 509 to 807 of the family's 1533-position model. The record is from RNAcentral.
CAGCAGCCACGGUAAUACGAAGGGUGCAAGCGUUAAUCGGAAUUACUGGGCGUAAAGCGUGCGUAGGCGGUUUGUUAAGUCUGUUGUGAAAUCCCCGGGCUCAACCUGGGAAUGGCAAUGGAUACUGGCAAGAUAGAGUGUGUCAGAGGAUGGUGGAAUUCCCGGUGUAGCGGUGAAAUGCGUAGAGAUCGGGAGGAACAUCAGUGGCGAAGGCGGCCAUCUGGGACAACACUGACGCUGAGGCACGAAAGCGUGGGGAGCAAACAGGAUUAGAUACCCCGGUAGUCCCUGUCUCUUAUAC